This 3028-nucleotide ribosomal RNA is filed under the name Salmonella enterica subsp. enterica serovar Aqua str. NVSL2001. RNAcentral describes it as "bacterial LSU rRNA". It matches the Rfam family "Bacterial large subunit ribosomal RNA". The record is from RNAcentral. Lineage: Bacteria; Pseudomonadati; Pseudomonadota; Gammaproteobacteria; Enterobacterales; Enterobacteriaceae.
GGGUUGUGAGGUUAAGCGACUAAGCGUACACGGUGGAUGCCUUGGCAGUCAGAGGCGAUGAAGGGCGUGCUAAUCUGCGAUAAGCGCCGGUAAGGUGAUAUGAACCGUUAUAACCGGCGAUACCCGAAUGGGGAAACCCAGUGUGACUCGUCACACUAUCAUUAACUGAAUCCAUAGGUUAAUGAGGCGAACCGGGGGAACUGAAACAUCUAAGUACCCCGAGGAAAAGAAAUCAACCGAGAUUCCCCCAGUAGCGGCGAGCGAACGGGGAGGAGCCCAGAGCCUGAAUCAGCAUGUGUGUUAGUGGAAGCGUCUGGAAAGGCGCGCGAUACAGGGUGACAGCCCCGUACACAAAAGCGCAUGUGCUGUGAGCUCGAUGAGUAGGGCGGGACACGUGGUAUCCUGUCUGAAUAUGGGGGGACCAUCCUCCAAGGCUAAAUACUCCUGACUGACCGAUAGUGAACCAGUACCGUGAGGGAAAGGCGAAAAGAACCCCGGCGAGGGGAGUGAAAAAGAACCUGAAACCGUGUACGUACAAGCAGUGGGAGCCCCACCACUAAGCCAGUGGUGAACUCCACAUCCGCAUCCUUUGCUGAGGAUACGGUUAACGGAGCGAAAGCGACGUUCAACCGCAAAACAAGCAGAGGGGGCUUAGUGGUGGGGUGACUGCGUACCUUUUGUAUAAUGGGUCAGCGACUUAUAUUCUGUAGCAAGGUUAACCGUAUAGGGGAGCCGGAGGGAAACCGAGUCUUAAUUGGGCGUUAAGUUGCAGGGUAUAGACCCGAAACCCGGUGAUCUAGCCAUGGGCAGGUUGAAGGUUGGGUAACACUAACUGGAGGACCGAACCGACUAAUGUUGAAAAAUUAGCGGAUGACCUGUGGCUGGGGGUGAAAGGCCAAUCAAACCGGGAGAUAGCUGGUUCUCCCCGAAAGCUAUUUAGGUAGCGCCUCGUGAAUUCAUCUCCGGGGGUAGAGCACUGUUUCGGCUAGGGGGCCAUCCCGGCUUACCAACCCGAUGCAAACUGCGAAUACCGGAGAAUGUUAUCACGGGAGACACACGGCGGGUGCUAACGUCCGUCGUGAAGAGGGAAACAACCCAGGCCGCCAGCUAAGGUCCCAAAGUCAUGGUUAAGUGGGAAACGAUGUGGGAAGGCCCAGACAGCCAGGAUGUUGGCUUAGAAGCAGCCAUCAUUUAAAGAAAGCGUAAUAGCUCACUGGUCGAGUCGGCCUGCGCGGAAGAUGUAACGGGGCUAAACCAUGCACCGAAGCUGCGGCAGCGACGCUGAUGCGUUGUUGGGUAGGGGAGCGUUCUGUAAGCCUGCGAAGGUGACCUGUGAGGGUUGCUGGAGGUAUCAGAAGUGCGAAUGCUGACAUAAGUAACGAUAAAGCGGGUGAAAAGCCCGCUCGCCGGAAGACCAAGGGUUCCUGUCCAACGUUAAUCGGGGCAGGGUGAGUCGACCCCUAAGGCGAGGCCGAAAGGCGUAGUUGAUGGGAAACGGGUUAAUAUUCCCGUACUUGGUGUUACUGCGAAGGGGGGACGGAGAAGGCUAUGUUGGCCGGGCGACGGUUGUCCCGGUUUAAGCGUGUAGGUGUGUGUUCCAGGUAAAUCCGGUUCACUUUAACACUGAGGCGUGAUGACGAGGCACUACGGUGCUGAAGCAACAAAUGCCCUGCUUCCAGGAAAAGCCUCUAAGCAUCAGGUAACAUCAAAUCGUACCCCAAACCGACACAGGUGGUCAGGUAGAGAAUACCAAGGCGCUUGAGAGAACUCGGGUGAAGGAACUAGGCAAAAUGGUGCCGUAACUUCGGGAGAAGGCACGCUGACACGUAGGUGAAGUGAUUUACUCAUGGAGCUGAAGUCAGUCGAAGAUACCAGCUGGCUGCAACUGUUUAUUAAAAACACAGCACUGUGCAAACACGAAAGUGGACGUAUACGGUGUGACGCCUGCCCGGUGCCGGAAGGUUAAUUGAUGGGGUCAGCGCAAGCGAAGCUCCUGAUCGAAGCCCCGGUAAACGGCGGCCGUAACUAUAACGGUCCUAAGGUAGCGAAAUUCCUUGUCGGGUAAGUUCCGACCUGCACGAAUGGCGUAAUGAUGGCCAGGCUGUCUCCACCCGAGACUCAGUGAAAUUGAACUCGCUGUGAAGAUGCAGUGUACCCGCGGCAAGACGGAAAGACCCCGUGAACCUUUACUAUAGCUUGACACUGAACAUUGAGCCUUGAUGUGUAGGAUAGGUGGGAGGCUUUGAAGUGUGGACGCCAGUCUGCAUGGAGCCGACCUUGAAAUACCACCCUUUAAUGUUUGAUGUUCUAACGUGGACCCGUAAUCCGGGUUGCGGACAGUGUCUGGUGGGUAGUUUGACUGGGGCGGUCUCCUCCUAAAGAGUAACGGAGGAGCACGAAGGUUGGCUAAUCCUGGUCGGACAUCAGGAGGUUAGUGCAAUGGCAUAAGCCAGCUUGACUGCGAGCGUGACGGCGCGAGCAGGUGCGAAAGCAGGUCAUAGUGAUCCGGUGGUUCUGAAUGGAAGGGCCAUCGCUCAACGGAUAAAAGGUACUCCGGGGAUAACAGGCUGAUACCGCCCAAGAGUUCAUAUCGACGGCGGUGUUUGGCACCUCGAUGUCGGCUCAUCACAUCCUGGGGCUGAAGUAGGUCCCAAGGGUAUGGCUGUUCGCCAUUUAAAGUGGUACGCGAGCUGGGUUUAGAACGUCGUGAGACAGUUCGGUCCCUAUCUGCCGUGGGCGCUGGAGAACUGAGGGGGGCUGCUCCUAGUACGAGAGGACCGGAGUGGACGCAUCACUGGUGUUCGGGUUGUCAUGCCAAUGGCACUGCCCGGUAGCUAAAUGCGGAAGAGAUAAGUGCUGAAAGCAUCUAAGCACGAAACUUGCCCCGAGAUGAGUUCUCCCUGAGACUUUAGGUCUCCUGAAGGAACGUUGAAGACGACGACGUUGAUAGGCCGGGUGUGUAAGCGCAGCGAUGCGUUGAGCUAACCGGUACUAAUGAACCGUGAGGCUUAACCUUACAACGCCGAAG